Molecule: ribosomal RNA, 292 nt
Filed under: uncultured bacterium
Lineage: Bacteria
Description: partial 16S ribosomal RNA
Rfam family: Bacterial small subunit ribosomal RNA
Source: RNAcentral
GUGUCAGCAGCCGCGGUAAGACGUAGGGAGCAAGCGUUGUCCGGAAUUACUGGGCGUAAAGAGCUCGUAGGCGGGACCGUAAGUCCGAGAGGAAAUCUCAAGGCUCAACUUUGGGGCUUUCUUGGAUACUGCGGUUCUUGAGGAUAUCAGAGGAAAGUAGAAUUCCCGGUGUAGCGGUGAAAUGCGUAGAUAUCGGGAGGAAUACCAGUGGCGAAGGCGACUUUCUGGGAUAUUCCUGACGCUGAGGAGCGAAAGCGUGGGGAGCAAACGGGAUUAGAUACCCCUGUAGUCC